AUUGAACGCUGGCGGCGUGCUUAACACAUGCAAGUCGCACGAAGUGGCGCACGGGUGAGUAACGCGUAAUCAACCUGCCCUUCAGAGGUGGACAACAGUUGGAAACGACUGCUUAUACCCCAUACUGAAGGAGGGGAUUGCGUCUGAUUAGCUAGUUGGAGGGGUAACGGCCCACCAAGGCGAUGAUCAGUAGCCGGUCUGAGCGGAGGAGCUGCCACAUUGGUACUGAGACACGGCCCAGACUCCUACGGGAGGCAUCAGUGGGGAUUCUUCCGCAAUGGACGAAAGUCUGACGGAGCAACGCCGCGUGAUGGAUGACGGCCUUCGGGUUGUAAAGCUCUGUUAAUCGGGACGCGGUACCGGAAUAGAAAGCAACGGCUAACUACGUGCCAGCAGCCGCGGUAAUUG
Molecule: ribosomal RNA, 408 nt
Filed under: uncultured bacterium
Lineage: Bacteria
Description: partial 16S ribosomal RNA
Rfam family: Bacterial small subunit ribosomal RNA
Source: RNAcentral